GAUGAACGCUGGCGGGGGGACGAAUACAUGCAAGUCGAGCGAACAGACGAGGAGCUUGCUCCUCUGACGUUAGCGGCGGACGGGUGAGUAACACGUGGAUAACCUACCUAUAAGACUGGGAUAACUUCGGGAAACCGGAGCUAAUACCGGAUAAUAUAUUGAACCGCAUGGUUCAAUAGUGAAAGACGGUUUUGCUGUCACUUAUAGAUGGAUCCGCGCCGCAUUAGCUAGUUGGUAAGGUAACGGCUUACCAAGGCAACGAUGCGUAGCCGACCUGAGAGGGUGAUCGGCCACACUGGAACUGAGACACGGUCCAGACUCCUACGGGAGGCAGCGGUAGGGAAUCUUCCGCAAUGGGCGAAAGCCUGACGGAGCAACGCCGCGUGAGUGAUGAAGGUCUUCGGAUCGUAAAACUCUGUUAUUAGGGAAGAACAAAUGUGUAAGUAACUAUGCACGUCUUGACGGUACCUAAUCAGAAAGCCACGGCUAACUACGUG
This 497-nucleotide ribosomal RNA is filed under the name uncultured bacterium. RNAcentral describes it as "partial 16S ribosomal RNA". It matches the Rfam family "Bacterial small subunit ribosomal RNA", at positions 28 to 507 of the family's 1533-position model. The record is from RNAcentral.